Molecule: ribosomal RNA, 437 nt
Filed under: uncultured Oscillospiraceae bacterium
Lineage: Bacteria; Bacillati; Bacillota; Clostridia; Eubacteriales; Oscillospiraceae
Description: partial 16S ribosomal RNA
Rfam family: Bacterial small subunit ribosomal RNA
Source: RNAcentral
ACGGAAGGCAGCAGUGGGGAAUAUUGCACAAUGGGCGCAAGCCUGAUGCAGCAACGCCGCGUGAGGGAAGACGGUCUUCGGAUUGUAAACCUUUGUCUUUGGUGAAGAAGCAAGUGACGGUAGCCAAGGAGGAAGCCACGGCUAACUACGUGCCAGCAGCCGCGGUAAUACGUAGGUGGCAAGCGUUGUCCGGAAUUACUGGGUGUAAAGGGAGCGCAGGCGGGACUGCAAGUUGGAUGUGAAAUACCAAGGCUUAACCACGGAGCUGCAUCCAAAACUGUAGUUCUUGAGUGAAGUAGAGGCAGGCGGAAUUCCGAGUGUAGCGGUGAAAUGCGUAGAUAUUCGGAGGAACACCAGUGGCGAAGGCGGCCUGCUGGGCUUUAACUGACGCUGAGGCUCGAAAGUGUGGGGAGCAAACAGGAUUAGAUACCCUGGUA